UACGGGAGGUAGCAGUGGGGAAUAUUGCACAAUGGGCGCAAGCCUGAUGCAGCCAUGCCGCGUGUAUGAAGAAGGCCUUCGGGUUGUAAAGUACUUUCAGUCGUGAGGAAGGUGUUAAGGUUAAUAACCUUAGCAAUUGACGUUAGCGACAGAAGAAGCACCGGCUAACUCCGUGCCAGCAGCCGCGGUAAUACGGAGGGUGCGAGCGUUAAUCGGAAUUACUGGGCGUAAAGGGCACGCAGGCGGUUAAUUAAGUUGGAUGUGAAAUCCCCGGGCUUAACCUGGGAAUGGCAUUCAAGACUGGUUAGCUAGAGUCUUGUAGAGGGGGUAGAAUUCCAUGUGUAGCGGUGAAAUGCGUAGAGAUGUGGAGGAAUACCGGUGGCGAAGGCGGCCCCUGGACAAAGACUGACGCUCAUGUGCGAAAGCGUGGGGAGCGAAACAGGGAUUAGAUACC
This 454-nucleotide ribosomal RNA is filed under the name uncultured bacterium. RNAcentral describes it as "bacterial SSU rRNA". It matches the Rfam family "Bacterial small subunit ribosomal RNA", at positions 340 to 786 of the family's 1533-position model. The record is from RNAcentral.